RNAcentral lists this long non-coding RNA (7428 nucleotides) under Pan troglodytes (chimpanzee). Its description in RNAcentral is "lincRNA". Lineage: Eukaryota; Metazoa; Chordata; Mammalia; Primates; Hominidae. The record is from RNAcentral.
GGCACAGCCCAGGCUCAGGGGCCAACGCUGAGCUGCACACGGAGCUGGGGUGUGGUUACCCUGCUCAGAGCCUGGGAUCCCUCAGCUGCAGCGCAGGCUCAGGGACACCUGCCCUGACAGGGGUGUUGCAGAGAAUGACAUCCAUACAUGGCCUGGCACACAGUGAAUUAGCCCCUGGAGUUUCAUUUGUCAUCUAGUGUCAGUUGAACGUGCAACAUAGCAACCCUGCAUCUUAGCAAUCUGUCCUCAGGAAAUCAAUGACCAGCAAGCAACUCUGUACACUGAGGAUGCCCAUCUCACACGGAAUGUGAUGCAAAAACUUAUUUGGACACAACAGAAGUCUCACAUAACAGUGAUGACGAACAUCUUGUCCAUGGCCUAACUGGGAGUUCCCUCUGCAACCAUAGGUUAGCUUAGAAGACAAUAUUGCUUUGCUUUGUUUAAUUGCAUAACUCAUCCAAGUUCAUAGAAGAAUUGGAAACUGUAAACAAAGGAAAAUCUGCAUCUCCUGUUGUAACACACCACAGAUAAGCCUCAUGGAUCACCACUUUGGACGACAUAGUCUUGUCAAGUCUAUGAAAAAGGUCUGGGGUGACCAGGUGGGUUCAGAACGUGGAGGCCAGAGAGGAGUGAGAGGUGCUGUGGGGCCCCAGGUAGGGGUAACCCCUGCUGGCUUGAUGAAUGCACCCAUCCCCUUUCGACAGGCCUCACAGACACCAGGCCAGAUAAGCACAUCGCCCGUCCAGGCCAUUUUUCCCCCGCUAUCUCUUGCUGAGGCGAUGCUAACAUACCGCCAGCCCUCUGUGUGAUGGAUGGCCUUGGGAAGCCGGCUCACCCCCACCGAUUACACCAACCCUCGGAGGGGCUUCCCAGUGCCCGCCUGCUCAUUUUCAAGACUGGUUCCCUUGGGGGUAAAAAAUGAGCACCCCAGGGGUCCUUUCUGGGGCUUCACACACGUUCAUACACAUCUGUGCCCAUGUGCACACACAGGUGCAUUUGUGCCUUGACCCAGCCAACGUUUAAAGCUUGGAACUUGGCAAGUCUAGUCCCCAGGAAGUCGCCCAGGAUCACACGGCCAGACAUUUGCCUCUUACUAACACUGUGUUCAGUCUCUAUCGGGAUCCCCUCCAGUUCCAAAGCGGCUGAGACACCGACAAAGCUGUCUUGGAUGAGACCUGCCAACCGCCACCCCCUCGGCUCAUCUUGGUCCGAGUCAAGCACCAGACACCUCAGACCCCACUAUUUCCUGGGAAAUGUAGAGCAAUGGUUUCUCUCCUGCCAAAAUCCUCAAAGGCAGCCAGAAACAGUAGAGUGAUUAGGAAGCCUUACGCUGGACACACUUCCAAGCUGCAAGCUUCCUGUGAAGCAAAACAGAACAGACUUCAUAUGGUGGAGUCAACCAACAUGGGCGCGUCCCAGGGCCCAGCAGGAUAAACAUCGGGCUCUCUGAUCCCGACCUCCCGACAUACCCAUUUGUCCUGGCCGCUCCUCGGACACAUGAAUGCCUGUCUCAAACCCCACCCUUCACCGCCAGCCGUCUCCGGGGAAGUGACAAACACCGGAUAGAGCCAAUGGGCCCCCGGAGUCCGGAUGCCCACCAUCCGGGGCUGUUUAUAUUUGAGCCCAUCUUGGAAGAAAAAUGUGAGAACGCCUGUUCAGAACAUGGUGGCCAAGCCGGGUCCAUCCGGUGCCAGGGAGCCAAACACAAUGGGAAAGGAGGCGCGGACGCGGCGGAAGGAUAGGGCCGGGCAUGGCCCGCCGAGGGAGACCGCUGGGCCAGGUUGGGUCCUUCCCUGCGCCCUCCUUGUCCGUACGCUGUGAAGAGGCACCUGGGUUCUUCUUCCCUCCACCCGGGACUCUCUGAUCACUCAUACCUCCCUCUUGGCCCACCGAGUCGUGUGAGCCACAUCCUUCACUCUGCCCGUAAAACCACCAAGUUUUAGGCAGUGGACAGUCAAGACAGAGAGGCAAGAGUUUCUUGUGAGAGUUGUCAGUGAAAGCACUUUCUCGUAGCAGAGCCUUAUGUUAUUCCCAGCUGAAAUGCUGUUGCUCUUUCCAAGGAAGGAUAGGUUUGUUCUAGAGGAGAGGCAGAGGUGUGCUCUCCAGACCCCACUGCCAUGCUGGGCGCGCAAACAGCCCUCCUUCAGGAAGACACCAGCCUUAAGCAACCUGGAGUCCUGAGGCCUGUGGCUUCCUGGGAACCUACAACCGCAUCAGAUGUUGAGGCAGAGUUGCUGUUACCAGUUUCACAUCUUAGUAAGAGCCACCGUUUUUGACAUGUCAACAACCCUCCCAAAAAAGCACAAAUCAAUCAAUGUUUAUUAAAAGGCCACCUUGUGCAAAGGGCUGUUGGUUAAAACACACCAGUGCCUGAGAUACUCAGGGAAAGGCUGGUUGCCUUUGGGAAGCAGGAACCCUCAUCUUGGGUUGUCAGAAGAUUUGCUUUGGGGAGACCCUCAGUUCCUGUUUCUAGUAAGUUUCUGUCUUUUGAUUCAUGACGUGACUGCAGGCAAGUGCUCGGGGUUUUUCAACUGCAAAAUGGAGAUAACAAUGGUACCCACCUCUCUCGAGGGGUGGCUGUGAAAAUUAAAUGAGAUAAUGCAUGUAAAAUUAGGAUAACCGUGCUCUUAACCUCAAAAACCUGCAUUAGAACUUAUAUGGUUUGAACCGCGUCUAACCAAGACUCCAAUAAACAAAAGUCCAUUUCUCUCGCUCAUGGAAGCCCAAGCUCUGAUCUGCAAAGUCCACAGGGGCUCCAGCUCCCUCCGCCUUGCUAUGCGUGUUCCCCUGGGAGUGUGUCCUCAUCUGCAAGGCCCUGAGCAGCUCACUCUCACCCACAGUGCCCACCCCGGGGGUAGGAGGAUGAAGGGAUGCUGGGCAGAGUCACAUGGGCACACCCAGCUCUAAGGGAGGAUGGGAAAUGGAGUCUUUAUUUUGGGCAGUCAUUUCCUUUGCUUAAAAUUGGGAGGAUUACAACAUACAGGAAAUGAAAAUGGAUAAGGGUGUUAAUAGGCCGUCUCAGCCACCCCCUAGGAGGUAAGGAUUGUUAUCACAUGUUAUACAUGGCAACACUGAGGCUCAGAAAGGUGAAAGAAAUUGCUCCAAAGUACACAGCUUCUAAAAAACCCUCAGCCUUGCCCACUGGGCUGCACUACCUCCUAAGCAGUGGUGAGGAGGUGGUGCUUUCUCUGCGCUGACACGUGGAAUUACACAGAAGAACAGGGUGGUCACUGGGAGGCUGGGUGGGUGGUGGGCAGCAUAGGUGAGCUGACACCCAUUUGUCCUGGGGGCCUCCCAGGGAAGAGAGACCCCCAUUCCCAAGGCAGGGGCAGGUUCUCAGGAAUGCAGCUUCUCCAAGCAGGAGGCAGUCCGGACGCCUUUUCCACACUGCUCGUUUCUUCCACCGUCCUGAGGGCUUAGGAGAGCAGAAGGGAGUCUCUCCCAAGCGCCGGCUGGUGGGCGCAACUCCCCGGUGCUCCCUGCAGGGCAGCGCCCAGUGGGGUGGGGCCUUGGGAGGCUAACAGCUCCAGAGCCACGCUCUACACGUGAUGGGGGCUGGGAGGAAAGAAUACCAGGCUGGCAAAGGGGUCAAGGCAGAGGUGGGUGCCCCGUGGGGCAGACUCCCUGCUCCUGCUUAUGGCCCCAGACCCCUGCUGGGUGCUGGUCUUGCAUGUCACCCAGCACAGGGCCAGGCACUUCGCCCACAUGGAUGACCCACCACUACUGGCAGCAGCCCAAAGAGGUGGGUACUGCUACUAUUCCCACUGCCCAAUAAGGAUAUCAAGGCCUAGAGAUACGAAUUAACUAACUCAAGUGAUUCAGGGAGCCCAGAAGGGGCUUUGAACUCAAGUGGUUGGGCACUAUGACAUUAGCCUGGUCCCAUGAAUAAUCACCAUCUUUGCAGCCUAGGGAAAGUUCAAAGGCAAUGCCGCUCAAGGCCACCUCCCAACAAACGCCUCCACCAAGCAUCUUUUAUAUAGACAUUCUGGAGACACCCGUCAGACAGGUCUGGGGGUCAAAGAGAUUUCAAUUCGAAAAGAAUAUCUCAGGCUGGGCUCAGUGGCUUAGGCCUGCAAACCCAGCACUCUGGGAGGUCAGGCAGGCAGAUCACUUGGGCCCUCCUAGGAGUUCGAGAUCAGCCUGUGCAACACGGAGACCCCAUCCCUACAAAAAAUACAAAAAUUAGCUGGGUGUGGUGGUGCAUGCCUGUGGUCCCAGCUACUCGGGAGGCUGAGGUGGGAGGAUCACUUGAGCCUGGGAGGUAGAGGCUGCAAUGAGCUGAGAUCACACCACUGCACUCCAGCCUGGGUGACAGAGUGAGAAUAUGUUUCAGAGAAAAAAAUAGGAAUAUUUCUGCCCCAAGGGUAUUGGGCUCACACUGCCUGUGUGCAGAUUGUGAUUCUGCCUUCCUAGCUGUGUGUCCUUUAAGGAUCUUCUCCUCUCUGGCCUCAGUUUCCUCAUCCGUAGCAUGGGGAGGAGAGUGCUCCCUGCAGGGCUGUUGGGAGAAGGCCAUGAGGGCUGUUGGGAGAAGGCCACCUCUCAAACAGUGACAGGCGUUGGCAUUGCUGUCCUUUGUUGUAUUAUUUUUGAGAUAUUCUUUAUAUUUCAAAUUAGACCAUAAUUUUUAAAAAUUAAAUGCAGGACAAAAGAGACAGAGGAGAACCUGCAGAUAAAAAGGAUCUCAAACCAGAUUGUAGCCAACUACAAAAGAAACCUCAGUCAUCAUCAUGAGCCACACAGCCCCUUUGUGUACCUAUUGAUUAUACAACUACAUAAAUAUGUCACUAACAAAAAUAAAUGCAUGACUUUUUUUUUAAUUACUUAAACUUUAAACCAUGGUUCUUGUCCCCAGAGAAGCUGGUCUGGACACAAAUAAACCCAAUCUAAGGGAGGCAUGCUCAGGGCACUGAGGUCAGCCCCAGCUGCCAUGCAUGCAGGUGACAUGUGAGGUGCCAUUCUGGUGCCAAGAUUUCGUCAAAACAAAAUGGUGCAGAUCGCAGGAGGAUCAUCUCACUGGGGAGGAAGCCGAAGCUCAAGGAAGCCACUAGUCUCAGUUACGCCACUGGGCUGGCCAGUGCAGACUUGGGACUGCACUCCAAUUGUGUCUGGCUCCAGAGUCCCAAGACAGCAUGGCUGGGCUUAUGCCUGGCCCCCCACAAGCGGACCCAGAGACAAGGAUUUGAGGACGAGAGUUGAUUUGGGGGAUGACCAGAGCAGCAGUGAAGUGGAGAGGCAAGGUGGGGGAGGAGGGCCACGGCACAGGGGCCUCACAGUGCAGGGGCUGCAUGGCAAGUGGGCUUAGGCCCCCCCAGAGAGCUCUGGGAGUGGUGGAGAGCUCGCCCCCAAGGCAUCCUCCCAAUGCGGGAGAGAGCUGGGGUGCUGACCCACCAGCCCCCAUCUGUCACCAAUCCUGAGAGACUCCAAGGCCUUUGUUCCCUGCCCUUUCUGGCCCGCCCUGUAGGUGGACUGAGCAUGUUCCCAUGGUCAGAGAAAGUCUCCGGCAUGGAUUCUCACAUACGUUGGGGUGGGAAACCAUCAGCUUGUUCAGGAGCCUUGAAUGCUGAGAAAGUAUGGGCGGGGCUGCAAAUGCCUGACCCCCACAUGUGCCUGCACAGAAACCCUCCAUCCCUGCAAUAUGAUCCAGGGACCCACACUCACUGCUCUGUGUGGAUGGCUUACAUUCCGUUUCCGUUCCUUUCUCUUAUCUCUACUUAUAUAAAUAUCCUUUAUAACAAGAAAAGAGCAAUAAAAAUAAUUGUGAAUUUUUAAAAAGACACAAGAACUAUUCCCCAAACUGUUUCCCGAGAAGAGUCAGCAUUGCAUGGAGCAGGCGGGGAGUGGGAGGUGACUAGACAGCCCCUCAGCGUCUGGACAGAGCUUCCUUCUCACAGGGUCCCUGCCUCCUCCUUGGACACCUGUGGUCUGUCAGGUGACACAUCAUUCCUGUCCAUCAGCAGCCCCAGGCCAUCGCUGCCAGCUUUGAUAACCCAGUCAUGACAAGGCCCCUUUUGGAUAGAAAUUCCUCACUUCCCGGUGGUCAGGCUUGCACUGACCCCCAUGGUCAGUGUGGGAGCUGGCCGUUUUUAUUUUGGUGCAUACAAAUUAAUAUCAGCCCACUGCCUGUGGAGAGAACGCACCCGUGGUGCACGAGCAUCUGCAUGUCCCUCACUGUGUGGGCUUAGGGUCUCCACGGAAGCACCUGCUCCCCUCUCCUCCCAUCCUCCCAUUGCACCAUGGGACAUCAAGGGGCAGCAGCUCUUGACCCCUGCUGAUGCCCAGCCCUCCAAACGUCAGCUGUCCAUCCACGCCUCCUGCUGCAGAUUGCAUGCCACACUCACCAUCCCAGGGCAAAGUGCAGUGAAACAGCCCAUGCCCCACUUCUCUCUCUUUGAUAUUUUUUCCCUGCCAUCCUUUAAAAGCUUGACCUUCUCACUGUCUCCACCUUCAUCCCAUCAAAACCUGCUCCAAAAAAGAAUAUGUCAACAGUCAUCCUCACCGCAUGUGAAUCAGAUGGGUCACAGGAUGAUGGUUUGGGGGCAAAAGGGUCUUUACAAACUGCCAGGAGAUGUGCAGCAGCUUUUAUGAACGCUGAGCCUCUGCCUGCCCUGGGUCCCAGCAAUUGCAACUCUGGGUACACACGCAACAAAAAUGCUUACAGACAUUCACAAGAACCCAUAUGCAAGAAUGCUCAUCCCAGGCUGGGCGCGGUGGCUCAUGCCUGUAAUCCCAGAACUUUGGGAGGGCGAGGCAGGCGGAUCACAAGGUCAGGAGAUUGAGACCAUCCUGGCUAACAUGGUGAAACCCCGACUCUACUGGAAAAAAAAAAAAAAAAAAAAAAGUUAGCCAGGCGUGGUGGCGGGCACCUGUAUUCCCAGCUACUCAGGAGGCUGAGGCAGGAGAAUGGCAUGAACCCAGGAGGCGGAGCUUGCAGUGAGCUGAGAUUGUGCCACUGCACUCCAGCCUGGGCGACAGAGCAAGACUCCAUCUCAAAAAAAAAAAAAAAAAAAGAGUGCUCAUCCCAGAACAAUUCAUAAUCAUGAAGAACUGGAAGCCACCGAAAGCUCAUCACUGGGAAUGCAGAAUGGAUGGUGACAUGGGCUGCGUCCACAGCACAGAGUGCUCUGCCACAGAAAGAACGAAGCCUCAGGCCAGCCCGAACUAGCUCCAUGGAGAGGCCUGGGAUGCUGUCCAUUCAUUUGCCUUCAACAGAGAACCAAGGUCACCUCCUGAGCAGAGUAAAUUUAGAGCCACUUCUCAGAAUUCUGCAUCUCAGGGGGCAGAGGCUUGGCCUGAAACCCUGCAGAAGCCAGCCGUGCUGUGUGACCACGGGCAAGAGGCUUAAACCCUCUGUGCCUUUCCUUCCUCUCUGAAAAACGGAGAUAAUAAUGGCACCUGUCAUCAGUAUAAAUAAAAUAACAUAUACUCAUA